Molecule: ribosomal RNA, 292 nt
Filed under: Mesocriconema xenoplax
Lineage: Eukaryota; Metazoa; Nematoda; Chromadorea; Rhabditida; Criconematidae
Description: partial large subunit ribosomal RNA
Rfam family: Eukaryotic large subunit ribosomal RNA
Source: RNAcentral
CGUCUUGAAACACGGACCAAGGAGUUUAGCGUAUGAGCGAGUCAUCGGGUGUUAAAACCCACAGGCGCAAUGAAAGUGAAGGCUCGGUCGCCGGGCUGACAUGCAAAGAAGGCAUCGGCCCAGGCAUGCAGCAUGGUCCCAUUGCAAUCGUUUACGAUGCAGUGGAGAGAGAGCGUAUGCGCUGGGACCCGAAAGAUGGUGAACUAUGCUUGAGUAGGGCGCAGCCAGAAGAAACUCUGGUGGAAGUCCGCAGCGAUUCUGACGUGCAAAUCGAUCGUCGGACUUGGGUAUA